This 395-nucleotide ribosomal RNA is filed under the name uncultured bacterium. RNAcentral describes it as "bacterial SSU rRNA". It matches the Rfam family "Bacterial small subunit ribosomal RNA", at positions 32 to 408 of the family's 1533-position model. The record is from RNAcentral.
AAUCAACGCUGGCGGCGUGCCUCAGACAUGCAAGUCGAACGCGAAAGUUUCCUUCGGGAGACAAGUAGAGUGGCGCACGGGUGAGUAACACGUAGGUAAUCUACCUUUGGAUGGGGAAUAACAACCGGAAACGGUUGCUAAUACCGCAUAAUGCAGCGGCACCUAAUGGUGACAGUUGUUAAAGCGGGGGAUCGAAAGACCUCGCGUCUGAAGAGGAGCCUGCGGCGGAUUAGCAGUUGGUAAGGUAAUGGCUUACCAAGGCUACGAUCCGUAACCGGCCUGAGAGGGCGGUCGGUCACACUGACACUGACAUACGGGUCAGACUCCUACGGGAGGCAGCAGUCGGGAAUUUGGGCAAUGGGCGAAAGCCUGACCCAGCAACGCCGCGUGAAGGA